This is a long non-coding RNA of Oncorhynchus nerka (sockeye salmon), 1508 nucleotides long. RefSeq lists it as uncharacterized. The transcript has 2 exons. The record is from RefSeq and is a predicted model, not a curated record. NCBI's taxonomy places the organism in Eukaryota, Metazoa, Chordata, Actinopteri, Salmoniformes, Salmonidae.
GGUAUAGCUUUAAAACACUGAUUAUGGUUAACGUAGUAAGUUUACUUUCGGUUUUGGAUACAAUUGUGUGUGACGGAUGUAACCGAACUAUGAGCAAUUAUAUUUUUGCUCCGUUAGCCCACUACUAUAUUACUACCUCCAAUGAUUUCCAGUUAACUACUUCAGUGGCAUUCCAGACUAACUCGUCAUUAGCAGCGGAUAAGAUCCCCAAAUGUGGGAAUUACCCCAGAAUAUCUGUAAAUUGCUCUGGUCCUGGAGCUAGCAAGUAAAGGCUCCCUUGAGCCGUCCCGACUACGGUCUGGAGGCGCAGCAGGAAAGGUAACGCAGGUCUUCCUGUGAAGAGCCAGGUCAAUAUUGUGUACUGCAGGCUGAGGAAGCUGAAGGCCCACGGCUUGGAGAGCGCUAGGGAAGUUCUAGCCUAACCACUGGAGAGUCCAGCUGUGCACCUGCGUCAGUUGCAUGGUGGGCCAGUAAAGAUGCUUCUCUCUUGAGAUUGUGUGUUUUGCCAUGAUUUAUUAAAAGCACAGUGCAGCCACUGUUGUUUUUAGAUAUUUGAUGUGGAACAGAUUGCUGUAGCUAACCGUUUCAUUGUUGUCUCAGCCCUUUGGAUUGGAUAAAGGUGGAGAGCUGUUUCCAUUGAAUAUGUGUUGUCAUUUCUGCUCAGAGGGCCUGCUGGAUGAGUCGGACACUGUCCUGGCCUGUGAGAACUGAGGCAUUAUAGAGCAAGGAACUGCUAGUCUCAGGCCUGGCAUAAGCAGACGGUUGUGUACUCUGGACAGCAUUCAGCAACUGGAGAUUGUUUAACUUAAGGAUGGGGACAAUCUUUUUCAUUUAUUUGUUUGGCAGCUAUUAACUGUAGAUGUAACCUAACACAGGGUUUAUACCAUUUGAUGAAAGUAAAAUGUUGUUUCUUCUGUCUCUGAGUUAAUUGAGAAGGAGACUGAACUGAUGGCUUUCCUACAGCAGAUUGCUGAUGAAGGAAAGGUCAUCACAGCAGAAGCCAUCCACCAAUUCUUUGGGGAGCUGAUGAAGAAGAGGCGACAGAUGAACAGCUGAUGUCAUUCUGCCCCACGGUGUCCUGUUGUUUACUUGUGCAAUUUUGUAAUGUUACUUUGGGUUCAUAGCAAAACAGUUCUGUCCACCAAACACCUUCUGCUUUAAAUAACAGUGCUGCUAUAAAAUAUGCUGUUACUGAGAUUUAUGAAGUUGAAAGUUUUGCCCAAAAAGUUGUUCUCGAAUGGCUCUCCAUGGAUUUCAAAUGGCGUUCCAUGUCUCAUGAGAAGCUGAAGUAGCAUGCUGUUAGCAGGCUUGGAGAGAUGCUGAUGGAAUCUAGUCAUUUUAGUCAUGGACUUACUGUUAUUUGGUCAAUUAUGUCUUAGUUGUCAUUAGAAUUUCAUAAUAAUGUGACACCUGAUGAGGAUGCACUGCCAUUCAUAUUGAAACAGAUCCAGUAUGUGACCAUUUCAUGUUGUCACAAGCAUUCCUGUUAAUUAAACAUUUGAAUAGUU